Molecule: long non-coding RNA, 6370 nt
Organism: Orcinus orca (killer whale)
Lineage: Eukaryota; Metazoa; Chordata; Mammalia; Artiodactyla; Delphinidae
Exons: 2
Source: RefSeq, a predicted model, not a curated record
CGCAGCAACGAAGACCCAAUGCAGCCAAAAAUAAAUAAAAUAAAUAAAUUAAAAAAAAAAGAAGUUUUAAAGUGGAUGUCAGAACAGGCUUUUGAAUUAUUGAUGUGAUUUCAUUAUCAACAUGAUUACUACAUAUUAACCUACUAAUUAUUAAUAUCUGAUUAAAUUAUUCAUGUAUUUAAUUGUUCUCUAUGGUUCAUUAGGACAAUUUACUCCUCAUAAUCCCCACUGUAUCCUAUGUAGAUUACAGAAGAGUUAUAUAAAGUGAGAUGUGUUUGCUACUGGGGAAUCACAUACCCUCCUUAUUUUAAUAGCUAUGCACUACUUUUUUUCCUGUUAGGAAAAUAUUGAAGUUUGUGCUAGGCUGUGUGUUUGGAUCCUGAGUUCUUUCCUUACUAGUCUUGGAAUUUGGGACAAGUCACUUGACCUUACCUUAAAACAAGGUAUAAAAUAAUAUCAACCUCACAAUUAUUGGGUUAGCAUAUGAGAAAACCAAAUUCCAACCCUGGGCAAUGAAUGAACAUUUUUAUUUUUAAAUUUUAAAAAAAACUAAAAAAAUUUUUAUUGGAGUAUUGUUGAUUUACAAUGCUGUGUUAUUUUCAGGUGUACGCAAAGUGAAUCUGUUAUACAUAUACAUAUAUCCACUCUUUUUUUUUAGAUUCUUUUCCCAUAUAGGUCAUUACAGAGUAUUGAGUAGAGUUCCCUGUGCAUUUUUAUUUUUUAAAUUAAAAUUUUUUUCUUUAGAUCUUUAUAUAAUACCUAGUAUUUUAUAUAAAUCUAUAGGGGAUUCUUUCAUUCACAACCAGACAUAUAUCUCCAGUUUCUGAAUUUCAGUGUCCCUGAAGUCAAUGUUACAUUCCACUUUGAAUUAUCUUCCUCCAGGAAAUAUGAGAAUGAACAUUUUUAAUUGGGAGAAAGGAAUAGGAAAUGCAAUCUGGGAAUAUAAACCACUCGUUUGAACACUUGAGAAGGAAGAGCAAAAGAGAAGAGAAGCACCCAGGAAAUUGCCAUAAUGGACAAACACAAAAUGGAAUAGACAUGGGAAGCUGAGAUCCAGAACAAACUGCUGUGGCUGUGGAGAGGUGAGGAAAGUCCUAGAGACCACCCUGCCUGGGAAGUAUCAUCCUAUUUGCUCCUCUCAUUCUGGCUCAUGUACCCUUCCCUCUGCUUAUCCUGCCCAAAGGCAGCAGCAGAAAUGGGGGAGGGACUUUGGUCUUAGUAGACAGGUAAGCAGCCCUACAUCUAGAGUUGCUUUUUGCAAUGUGCCUAGUUUCAGUUCAACACCCCUAGUUUCAUGACCUCCAGCCCCACUGCCACCAUUCCUUUCAAUACUACAUCAAAUGCCAAAUACUAUAUGUUAUCAUCUGCUACAACAGCAUCAUCAUUACCCCACUACUACCACUGCAACCUCUGCUCAUUCUCACCAUCACCUCUACCACCUCCACCAGCUCCAUCACUUCUAUCACCUUCACCACUACCAUGAACACCACCACAAUUUUAAGCACGACCACUGCCAUCUCCGCUAAUUCUCACCACCACUACCACCUCUGCCACCUCUAUCACCUUCAUCAUCCCCACUGUCACCACCUCCACUGCCAUCACCACGAUCACAUCUACCACCUUUAGCACUACUACCACUGUCAUCACCACCAGCACCUCCACCACCAUCGUUACCACCACCACUGCUACCACAAUCCAUUCUCUUCUUACCACCAUUGCCACCACCAUCACUAUUGCUUCUCAUUCUCACCAGCACCACGACUAGCACGGAGAAGAAAAGACUUAGGGCUUGCUGAAGAGCCAUCUUCAAAGGAUUAAAAGGCUACAGAAGAAUAAAGUUCUUAGUAGGGGCAAAGAAGCUAGAGUUGGAAAAAUGGACAGAAUUAAAGGAAUUAUAGUGACAUUUAGGUAAAUGUAAGCAAUGUUUUUCAUGGACCUAGGGGAGACAAGAGGGGUGAGAAGUUUGAUGAUAAAAUCUGGAAUUUGAUGAGUAAUUUGGAGCAUGUUGAGUUUACUUACCUAAGGUGACAACCAGUCACUCACUGAUGUUUGGAUCCCUGCUAUAGAAUCCCUUAAGAGUGGCAAUCUAAGGUAUAUAUCUUCAAUUGUUUUAGUAUUUGGGAGGUCAUUUAAUCCUGAAGCAUCUGGUUUCUUCUGGCUAUUUUUAUAAGUUUCUGAUUAUUCCACAAUACUGAAAUACAUUAUCUUUUAAAAAUUUAAGACAUUUUAGAUCAGGGUGAUAUUCUUCCUGGUCAUCCUUCCCAAUCCUUGUUCCUAAAUCCAUGUUGCCUUUUCACAGGCAACCAGUGUUAUAAUUUGGUAUGAUUUUUUUGGUAGGUCAUUUUCUUGCCAUUAUGUACAUAUUUAGAAACAAUAUAGUAGUAUAUGUACAUUUUACAUGAAUACCAUGUGUCUUAUGUGUCUUUCUGCCCCUUACUUUUUUUCCCCCACUCAACAAUAGAUUAGUGCAAUUGUUAAGAGGAUGAACUCUGGAGCCAGACUGCCUGGCUUCAGUUCACAGCUUUGUCACUUGCUAUUUGCAUGAUCUAAAUUAUUAAACUCCCCUAGUCUACAGUUUCCCCCUUUGUUAAUUGGGACUAUAGCAUACCUAUACCCAUACAGUUCUUGUGAGGAUUAAAUGAGUUAAUUUAUGUAAGCACUUAGUACAGUGCCUCAACCAUACUGUUGACAGGUAUAAAGUCAUAUUAUUGCUUGCUGGUAUUCCUUAGUAAUUUAUAGGUUGGAUCUGCCACAGUCUAUUUAACCAUUCCUAAAUGGAUGGACAUAGAGAUUACUCCAAUUUUCAUGAUUGCAAACAUGGCUUCUAUGCGUGUUUUCAUAUAUGCCUACUUAUACACAUGAAUGAUAGUAUCUCAAAGGUAGAGAAGAAGUCAAAUUGCUGCACUUAUUUUAUUUUAUUUUUAACAUCUUUAUUGGAGUUUAAUUGCUUUACAAUUGUGUGUUAGUUUCUUCUUUAUAACAAAGUGAACCAGCUAUACAUAUACAUAUACAUAUAUCCCCAUAUCUCCUCCCUGUUGCAUGCAUUUGUCAUUUUAAAGGCUUUCUUAGAAAAACAUAAUUAUAAUGAGUAGAUAGCUUCCUCCUGUUCCUCCCACCUGUUGGUUUAAUUCUCCUCCCUUUGGCAGCCUGAGCCACACUGCAGCUCUGAAGUGAUAGACCCCAGUGGUUAGGACUAAUAACCUCAGGUUCAGAUUAACUUUGGGGGUGGGGUGGGGUCACAUUUUUGGGAGGCAUACUAAAUAUUUACGUAUAAUAACUCAUUUAAUCAUUAUGAUGCAGGUACCCUGACUAUCCCUAUUUUACCCCUGAGGAAAUGGAGGCAAAAAGAAGCAAUGCCAUUACUCUGGGUUGCACAACUAUAAGUGGUAGAUCCUUUAUACAGGUAUGAAUGUUGAGUCCUUAGUCCAUGUAAACGUCUUAGUAUUCUGCUCAGCACAUAGAAAACAUUCAGUAAGUGUUAGCAUUUUUCUAGGGUUGAUUGGUAUAUUAUUAAGCCUCCAGAAUUAUUAUUUACUGUUACCCUUACUGUCCUCAGAUUGUGAUGCAGCUCAUCUCUGAGGCAUUUCUUUCAUUUGUCUUAACAAAAUAAUAGGAAAUUGUGGUUUCAAGCCUUGGCUGACCAAAAUCUCUGAUUCUACUCUAUAGCCACAGACCACAUACUUACCCUUGGAGGGCACCUGCUGAAAUUAACACCUUCUGCUCUGUGUUUGCCCACAAAGAAGACAAAUGCAAAUAUAGUUAAAUGCAAAUGUGGGUACAUAUAAUAUCUCAUUGCUGGUGGAUAGGGAGUUGACUUAUACUGGAUGCCCAGGAAAGAGAUGAAUGAGGGGAACACUGUACCUGUGACUUGAGGAGAGGUCAGCUGGUUUGAGAUGUCAGAGUGGAGGUGGACUAGAAAAGGACUUUCCUUCUGACCCAGAAAAUUGUGCUGGACCAAGAAGGAAAUGGCAUUCACUCUCUCAUUGAACAUUUACUCUGGGGUAGAAUACGGAGAUACAGAGAUGUAGGAGACACAGCCCCUCCAGGAGCUUGCAUGGAAGCACGGAAGACAGAUGCGUAGAUGAAUGAUUGCAGUACGGGGUGAUACACAAGGACACCCUCUAGAGGCUGCACUAGAGGCGCAUAGAGUGGUGGGGUCUUCCUAGAGCUCGGAUCCUUCAGAAUAUGUCAGAGGGACAAAAGGGUAGAGGAGGAAUUCAAGACAGAGGGAAGGGCAUGUGCGAAGGUGUGGGUGUAAGACAGCAGGGCAAGUGUAAGUCAUCCUGGGUUUGGAAGGACGGCGCGGUAGCGCAUGUGCGGAGUGGAGGGUGAGGCACCGCUGGGUUGCAUCACGGAGGGGGCUGAAAGCCAUGUCGAGGAGAAUUGACUUUUAUCUUAAUUUUGUUAGCGAAGUUAUUUCUUCAAAUAUUGGCAUCCAGAGGAAAAGCUGAGUUGCCUGGAGGUGGGAGCGGGCUUGCUGGAGAGAAAGCACAGCGGGAACAGUUCCAGGCAGGGGCUGGCAGUGGCCCUGGAAAAUGUUAGAAGGUGGACCUUGCCAUGAUGACCGCGUUUGACUGGCUCCCUUGUCACGUGGAACAAACAAAUAAAUCGUUGAAAACCUUUGCCCUGACCAGUUGUCACAGAGUUCUUCCAUUUAAUCUUUUUUUAAAAAAUAAUUUUAUUUAUUUACUUAUUGGGCUGUGUUGGGUCUUCAUUACUGUGCGCGGGCUUUCUCCAGUUGCAGCGAGCAGGGGCUACCCUUCAUUGCUGUGCGCAGGCUUCUCAUUGCAGUGGCUUCUCUUGUUGCGGAGCAUGGGCCCUAGAGUGUGUGGGCUUCAGUAGCUGUGGUUCGUGGGCUCUAGAGCGCAGGCUCAGUAGUUGUGGUGCACAGGCUUAGCUCCUCCGCGGCAGGUGGGAUCUUCUCAGACCAGGGCUUGAACCCAUGUCCCCUGCACUAGCAGGUGGAUUCUUAACCACUGCGCCAUCAGGGAAGCCCUUAUUUAAUCUUUAAGUUAGCUUGUGAUUUUGGCGUUGUUGUUACGACCAUGGGGCAGCUGAGUAAAUGAAGGCUCAGCAAGGCUGAGGAAGUUGCUUCAAACCACACAAGCGUGUGAGUGCUAGAGUGUUCAUUUGAAGCCCUGCACCAUCUAGGGCUCCCUGGCUGUCAUCAGAGGCCAGGAGAAGUGACAGCAGAGUCUGUUAUGCCGCGUUCUCCUAUGGAGCGUCACUUUAUGUAGCUGUGGAGGGCAGUUACGCCCAGGGAUGACUAGUUCUCUGAUAAAAUGGCCCCAUGGGGCCCCAUUUGGUGUCCGAGGUGAUGACCAGAUAUCCUGCUAAGGAGGAAGGGUGUGGGGAGACCCAGAAAUCCUGCAUAGCCUCUAGGCGGUUCCCCUUCUCCCCAGGGCCGAGGCAGCAGGUGAGACCUCCAGAGUUUGCAGGUGGAAGAGGGGCUUGUGGCUUUCAUCACAAGGGAAAGGCUAGAUCGGCAUAACUCCAUCAUCCCUUCUGCAAAAACUUCUCCCAGGACAUGCUGACUCUGCCAACAAAGCUCAGCAGGUCAGUUUGGCAAAACGGCCCCUCAGGUGCUGCCUUUCUUCUGCAAAGUUUCCGCAACAAGAAAAAGGGAUUUCUUAACAGCUCAGGUGUAAUAAUGAAUGGGUGGAGGGUGCACUGGUGAACUGGGGUACAGCCUCACCACCCCCUGCAAGGUUUCCUGCGCAUGUGGAAACCUUGGGUCUCGGGAACUUGGCAGGCUACUCCACCUCUGAAUUGAGGAAAGGGGGAUGCCUUCCACACUUAAUUUCUUUGGUUCUUCAGAUACUUUCAUUUUCCUCAUACAAUGUGUCAGCCAUCUCGACAAGGGUUUUACAAGCAGGACCUGAUUUUAUGUCCACAGUAACCCAGAAGAGUGGGUACUGAUGCCUCCAUCUAACAGAUAAGAAUGUGAUGCACAUUGCCAUUAAUAUCUGUUUGAUGCUGUAUCCAUUGCCAUUCAGCGGACACAGACAGGUGCUGUUCUGGAUGCUGGGUAGACAGCAGAGAAUGUGGCCACAAGGACUUGAUUACAGUGGCACCAGGCAGGCUGCUCCCAGGAUGGAAAGAAAUAGUGGACAUGAAUGUGUUUGAUAGACCAAAAAGUGCCACAAACCUCUAGGGGACAUCCUGGCAGGAAUAAAGGCUCAGCACACUGUGAAAACUGGAUAACACUGUGGAUCAGAAAGCUUAGGAGAUCUGUCACUUGUGACUGCCCCACCACACCACUUCAGCUGGGCUCCUCGUGGUCUUGGCCUGGAAGGUUCUAGGGGUCAGACAUAGCACUGUACUUGUUGCCCAACUUUCACAAGCUAUGAGAGCACCCCCCCACCCCGCC